CAACAGAGGGAGGCAAAGCCGCGAGGCAGAGCAAACCCCUAAAAGCCAUCCCAGUUCGGAUUGCAGGCUGCAACCCGCCUGUAUGAAGUUGGAAUCGCUAGUAAUCGCGGAUCAGCAUGCCGCGGUGAAUACGUUCCCGGGCCUUGUACACACCGCCCGUCACACCAUGAGAGUCGGGAACACCCGAAGUCCGUAGCCUAACCGCAAGGAGGGCGCGGCCGAAGGUGGGUUCGAUAAUUGGGGUGAAGUCGUAACAAGGUAAC
RNAcentral lists this ribosomal RNA (263 nucleotides) under uncultured bacterium. RNAcentral describes it as "partial 16S ribosomal RNA". It matches the Rfam family "Bacterial small subunit ribosomal RNA", at positions 1237 to 1500 of the family's 1533-position model. The record is from RNAcentral.